RNAcentral lists this transfer RNA (82 nucleotides) under bacterium. RNAcentral describes it as "tRNA-Leu". It matches the Rfam family "tRNA". From Rfam's summary of the family: Transfer RNA (tRNA) molecules are approximately 80 nucleotides in length. Their secondary structure includes four short double-helical elements and three loops (D, anti-codon, and T loops). The record is from RNAcentral.
GCCGGAGUGGCGGAAUUGGUAUACGCGAACGACUCAAAAUCGUUUCCCGCAAGGGUUGAGGGUUCAAGUCCCUCCUCCGGCA